GGCGCAGUGGUGAAGUAGCUAACACGGGUGUCUGCAGAACAUCUAUUCGGGGGUGCAACUCCCCCCUGCGCCU
RNAcentral lists this transfer RNA (73 nucleotides) under Candidatus Levyibacteriota bacterium. RNAcentral's name for it is "tRNA-Cys". It matches the Rfam family "tRNA". Rfam says of the family: Transfer RNA (tRNA) molecules are approximately 80 nucleotides in length. Their secondary structure includes four short double-helical elements and three loops (D, anti-codon, and T loops). Lineage: Bacteria; Candidatus Levyibacteriota. The record is from RNAcentral.